AUAGUAAUUUGAUACAGAAGAUGGAAACUGCUCACCAAAAAAGACAGAGAAGUUGAUGAUGGUGGUGAGGAAACAAGAAGAUCCUGGAUCUCUGACGUCCAUGGAACUUUCAUAACAUCGUUGCCACUGCUACUUCAAUGAUCCCUUUAUGUGAAAUAAAGUAAAUCACUAUCUUGAUAUUUCCAGUUAUCUUGGAUUUCUCAAAUUAUACGUCUUAAAUGACAAAGCAUCAGAAAGGUUAAGUUUGUGACAACAUUUUCAACAGAAAAGUUAGGAAUACACUGAAUUUUUAAACAAGAACGGAUAUUAUUAUCUCUGCUUGCAAUAUUAUAAAUGUCAUUCAGGGAGUUAAUUUUUAGAGACAAAUGAUAAAUAAUAAGUAGACGCACUUUAUAUAUGUUUUCAGAUUCUUUAACAAAAGCUGUUUUUCCUGUCUUUAGAUAAAAUUUGGCAAAAAAUACUUAUAAAGUAGUAAUAAAGAGGUAGUAGAUAAAACAUAGUAAAAGCAAAAUGAAUCAAUAACACAACAGCUCUUUUACUAUAGAAGAAUUUAAUAUUGUAGAUUAAUUGAUAUUGGUUGUUGCAUUAAACGAAAUCUAUUGAAGUCUACAUGGGUAUUUAAAUAUCAUAAUAUAUAUCACAUAUAUAUCUAUAAAGUUAUUUUAGAAUAUUUUCUGUCUACAAUGAGAAGACUAUUAGAGCUUAUACUAUGAAGUACUAAUAAGUGCAAAUGUUCAUUUGGAAUUAUUUCUUGUCCUUUAUAAAAACGGAAUUUGAUUUUGGCUAAUGUUGGUAUCUUCACUUUGGCAUCUACCUUAAAAAAUAGUUUAUUAUUACUACAAACCACAGUAAUAUAGUAUUAAAAUAUUUAUAAAAUAAAUGUUUUAUGAGUUUCUGCUAUUUGCCAGGCAUACAAAGUUAUAUGAAUCUUUCCAAAUACUGAUGGUAAGAAUUAUUAAUUUCAAUUAGCUUGCAUUUUAUGUUAAGAAAUUUUAAUAAAGGCAGAGUUACUUUUUCCAAGUUACAUAUCUCUUAUACCUAAAUGGAAAUUGCACUUUCUCUUCUCAAAUACCUGAAUCCAUUCUUUUAUGUUACAAUAUUAACAUUCAUUUAGAGGUUUAUUCUCAAGAACAAUGUAAUUUUCAUUGUGGAUUUUGGGAAUAAGGAAGGAGAGUAUGUUCAAUUAUAGUCUUUAAAUUCUGCUUUCUUUUCAGUCUAUCUACCUAUUAUCUAUCUAUCUAUCUAUCUAUCUAUCUAUCUAACAUCUCCUUCACUAAAAUUCACCAUUUUGCUAUACAAUUCUAUAAAUGUGGACAAAUACAUUAAAGAAUAUGUCUGUCAUAACAAUCAAGAUAUAGAACAGUUUAUUUAAAGAAAUUCACUUGUGUGGCCUCCCGCAUUCCCAACACAGACCACUACUGAUCUUCUUCAUAUAAAUGGAAUCAUUUAGUAUGUAGCCUUUGGGUCUGGAUUCUUUCAUGUAUAUUGUCUUUUAGGUUCGUCUAUGCUAUUAUAUAUACUAACACUAUGAUAGUUUUUUCCUUUUCAUAUUUCAUGAGUAUACCAGCGUUUGUUAUCUAAUUAUCAGUUGAAAGACUCUUUUUCCAAUUUUUGUCAAUUAUACAUUGAGCUACUGUGAAUAUUUGCAUAAAGUUUCUUGUGUCAACAAAAUUUUUCACAUUUUAAAUCAUAUGUUUGAUACCAGUUAAACUUUAUAAGAAAUUGUUCCCACUCUUUUCCCAGAUAACCGUACCAUUUUACAUUUCCACGAGAAUGAAUGAAAGUUUGGGUAACUCUGCAUCUGUCAGUACCUUAGUACUGUCUCUUUAAAAUUUUUUAAAUUCUGCUUUUUUAAAAACCACUUUCAAGUGAAAAUAAUAUAAUAUGAGAUUGGAAUGUAAUUUCUUCAAAUCUUAUCUCCACUGCAAACUAUUUGAUCAGGUGCAUGAACUUGAUUUUUUUUCUUAAAAAAGUAUUUAUUCUUACGUUACAUGACAGUAUCUUUUUAAACAUGGCAAGUUAAUUUUCUAAAAUCUUUUAAAAUUUAUGCUUACUGUACAUCUGAGGUUUUGAGUUCCCACUCUUUUAUGUCAUUAUAUAAUUGCCCAAUAAAUACAAGCCCUAUGUUAACAUUAAAAGUAGCAUACUUGUUGUUAUACAUGCAAACUGGGCAUUUGGCCUUAACACAUGGUGAUUUGAAGACAGGUAUAAAGAGAUUUUUAAAAAUGUGGUAAGACAUAUUACUGGGUUGAUCUCUGGUAAUCCUGUUACAUACAAGCAUAUGUAAUGUAAAUUUUAAUAUAUGCAAACAUACAUACAUGUAUAUACACAUUAAUAAAGGCAAAGUUACUUUCUCAAAGUAACUUUGGAAAUUUCACUUUGACAUACAUAUACGUGUAUAUACAGAUUUUUCCUUUUUAUUUCUGUGAGUUUUAAGAUGAUGAUGAUUAAUUUUUCAAAAGCUUUUUUUCAUUUAAAUUCAUUGAUCUUAUUGAUUUCCAUCAAAUAAUAUUGAGAAAGCACAUUGUGACGGUAAAUAUUGACUGUCAACUUGAUUGGACUGAAGGAAGCAAAGUGUUGUUCCUGGGCAUGUCUGUGAGGGUGUUGCCAAAGGAGAUUAACAUUUGAGUCAGUGGACUGGGAAAGGCAGACUCACCCUCAAUCUUGGUGGGCACAAUCCAAUCAGCUGCCAGCGUGGCUAGAAUAAAAGCAGGCAAAAGAACGUGGAAAUAUUAGACUGGCUUAGCCUCCAAGCCUAUAUCUUUCUUGUGUGCUGGAUGCUUCCUGCCCUCGAACAUCGGACUCCAAGUUCUUCAGCUUUGGGAAUCAGAAUGAAUUCCUUGCUCCUCAGUUUGCAGAUGGCCUAUUGUGAGACCUCACCUUGUGAUCAUGUGUGUUAAUACUCCUUAAUAAGCUCCCCUUUAUAUAUUCAUCUAUCCUAUUAAUUCUGUCCCUCUAGAGAACCCUGACUAAUGCACAUACUUAAUUAUGAAAGAAAUAAAAAAUUUACAAACUACAUAUUUUUAUUAAAAAUUAUACAUGCAUAUAUGCCUUAGAUCAUAUUAUAUAUUCGAUGUCCUAUUUAUAUGUAAUUGGGUCUUAUUCUACAAAGAGUUCUCUAAUAUGAAUAUUUAAAACACAUAGAUUGUGGAUUGGAAGACUCUCAAAAGCUAAUAGUGAUUAUCCACUAGCUGGUAGAUUUGUUGUUAAUUUAUCAUAUGAACUCCACUGUUUAAUAAUUAAAUAUAACUAAACCUUAUUUUAUUUACUCUUAAGGAAUUUUUUUAAAUUAGCAAUAAUUUUAUAGCAAUGAAAUUGCCUAGACACAAUGUGAAAACAAACAGCUAUAAGUAGGCAUAAAGUUAAACAUACAAAAUACUGUUGUAUUUUUAAAAAGUUACUGGUUAAUUUUAUGAUCCACUGCCACAUUUAUAGUUAUGCAAACUAACAGAAGAGCAUACAUAUAUCAUGCUUCACUAAUCAAAUAAUUAUUUAUGUAAAAUAAAAUAAUUACUUAUAAUUUUUAUAUUGCUUUUAUAGCAUUAUUUCUGCAAAUAUAAAAACAUUCUUAAUUAUUGGUACAAGUAAAACAAUUAUCUGUUCAGUUUUGCAAAACUACUUUAAAAUAUUUGUUUUUAAGAAAUUGUUUCACCAAAGUAAAUAAAUAUUUAUAAGGGAGGAAAAAUUACUUGGUACAAAACUAUUUUUCACUGUGACAUUCUUAUAAAUAAGCCUCAUGGCAUUACUUAAUGCUAUGAAUUUACUUCAUACAUUGGUUUAAUUUAAUUUAGUCAACUAAUUAUUUAAACCUAUCUUUGAACUUUUAAAGAGGCUCAAUUUUCCCUAUGCUUCUUCCCAAAUUUCUGUAUAGGAUCAUAGAAUUACACGGCAACCUAGAAUUAGCAGAAAAAAAGCAAGAUCUGUUUCUUUUUUUCACAUUCAUUUAUAAUUAAUCCCCACUAAACUGCUUUUAUUUCUCAGAAUCCCUGCACCAUUCUUUCACUAUGGUGUGCAUAUUAUUUCCUAAAUAAUUUUUAUAAAAAUGCCUGAAAUGUCACUUUUUAAGUUCUACUUUUGCUUUCUUAGGGUUUUAGUGAUAAAAAAGUAAAAAAAAAAAAAAAAAAAAAGGAAAAUCCCACUCGCUUUCCUACGAUGAAUCUGUUUUUUUCUCAUUUAGCAAAUACUACCUGAAGAACAACUCAUUUGGAUAUUUCUUUAUGUUGAGCUUGAUUAAACUUUCCAUCCUCAUUCAGUGCUGUAGGAUCAUGUUAAUUUUUGCUCAUUUGAGUCUCUUAUCCAAUCCAGUCAAAAAAAUCAGUACAGUAUUUCAUAGUGUCUGUUGUUGAGUAUUCUGAUCACAUUACUUACGGUAGAUAUUUACUACAUGCCAAAGACAAUGUUUCACAACUGCUCUUCAUUAUGGUUUUUGCCAAAUCUAUUACUAUAAAUCAUAUUUCAACAUAUGAUCCAAAGGAUCACAACUGUCUGCAUAAAAACUUAUAGAAACAGAUAUAAUCGAUCACCUCCUCUGUUGUUUCUACUAACCAGGUUUUGAAUAUUUAAGGGGGAAAAUUAAGUUGUAGCAAUUUCAAAGCUGUCAGAAGAAUCAAAUCUGGCCUAUGCAAAUAUAUUUUGUUAAAAUUAUGCUUAGAAAUACAAAAGCUGUAGCCUAAUAAUUUUAUGAACAGUUUGAAAAAAAGAAUCAUAUUAACUUAUUUAUUUUAUUACUUGUUGCAUUACUAGUAUGAGGCAUAUUGCCUGAGAAUAGUAGACACGCAAGAUAUAUUUGUUGAACUGAAAUAAAUUUAACUUUUAAAAAACAUAAUUAAUAAUAUUCCUCAAUACUCUAACAUAGUACUAUAUAUGUGUAUAUAUCAUUAUGUACUAGUAUAGUACUAGAAUUAAUAUACACAUUCCUUUGACAUACUUUUUCUUAUUCAUUGAUUUCAUUUUACAUACCUAUUUCAAUUAUUUCUAAAAAUUAUUUUCUGUAUUCUUCAAAUAUUUGCCCAGGUAGCUCAACAAAUUCCUGAAUUACAUUCUCAGAUUCUGAUUUAUUGGGUCUGGAGAGGUACAAGGAAGUAAAAUUUUAGCAAAGAUCUUUGGUGAUCCUAAUGAAAUCAAUAAUAAUACAAUCAAUAAUAUUUUACAAAACUACUUUAAAAUAUUUGUUUUUGAGAAUAUUGUUUCACCAAAGUAACAUAAAUAUUUUAAGAAAACAUUUAUGUGAAAUAUUUUUAAGAAAAAAUUCAAUAAUAUUUUGACAUGCUCAAUAAUAUUUUAAUGGGCUAAACAGAUAUCAAUAGAUUUUCAUAUUCUCCUAAUUCUUAUUUUGCAGGGGAAUUUGGUUUUCUUGCCUGUUAGAUACAAUAUGAGAAUUGAGUUUGCUAGAGUGCAUUCUCCAAGAUUACCUGUGACCCAGAAAGCUUACAGAACUUGGAUUAAAACCUUAAAAACCUACUAACACUUUACAUGCUGUUGCAGUACUUCAGUUGCAAUAGCUACUUAUUUUUCUAGACUCCUUUAUUCAUCUCUUCUUCCUUAUUUGCUGAGAUACAAGAAACUAAUAGAUUUGUUUGUGACCAAGAUGGUCUAUUCAUCUUCCUCACCUCUACUAAACUUUAGACAGGUUUCUCCCUGACUGUAGGUCCCUAACCUCCCUGUUCUUGGAGUGUUUAGUUUAGAAAACUUAGAAUUAUAAAUUCUCUCUCUGUCCUUUUGAGAUGUAAAUCUUCUCCCUGCCUCCUACAACCCAGGAAUAUCUGUUUCAAGAAACAGAGCCAUCUCUUUGAAAUAUAGUCAUCAAAGAACAGAGUGUCACCAUCUCCCAGUUUCUGUGAGAGGGUAGGGGCCUAAUGUCCACAGGCACCAAUUAGCACACACAAAUGGCCUCAUCACAUACACCAUGCUUCCCUAUAAUGUCCUUCAGUACUUUUCCACCGGCUCACUUUUCUUGCUUUUUGUUUCAACAGAGUUAAGUUCAGUCUGUCUUCCAUAUUGUAAUAGUCUUGAAUAAAGUCUUCCUUGUCUGUUUAUGUCCACUGCAAUUUUUCUUCAAUAUUAGUUUUUACCUCUUUUCUUUAAGAAGAGAAACUCUUAUAUUACCAAGAAGAACCUUAGCAAUUCAAAAACUUUCUAUUUGUAAUAUCAGAAAAAAACUUCAGCUCCAGGAUAUCUGACUAGUCAAUUGCUGCUUAAUUAUGUUUAUAAUUGCUAGUGAUUCCCUCAUUAUAAAUAGCAGUUGAUAUUGAUGUGUCACUUUAACUUAUCUUCAUAGUCUCAGGGAACCAUAAAAUCUCCACCAAAGGUCUCUUUCUACAUGCUCCAUAUUUGUAUUAACAUUGCUUCCUAAUUCAAAUAAAGACAUGUAAAAUAUGAAAUUAAUGGAAGCUUCUUUGGGAAAGUGAACAGUAACUAUUGCUCUUCAAAACUCUGUUUGUAGAUGCUCUUUCUAAGUUUGAUGGAUGGAAAUAAUUUAUCCAGAAAUAUCUUUAUACAUUAUUUUUGCAAUAUGAGUAUCUAAUUAAAGAACAAUGGUUAUGACAAAUAAAUGUAAAAGUUGAUUUAUUCUACCAAAGAAAUAUGUAUUUAACAUGGCCUAUUUUAAGAAAUCAUUAAUUGAAUACUUUGAAUUUUCUCUAGACUCCAUAAUAAUAUUCUAAAAAAGAAAACGAUCAUAAUGAAAAUCACUUAAAUAAAAAUAAUUUCUAAGUAUAAAUUAUAACAGUAUUGUUGAUGUAUUUGCAUAAUAUUCUAAUUGUUGCAAGACAGAAGCAGCC
This 6779-nucleotide long non-coding RNA is filed under the name Homo sapiens (human). Its description in RNAcentral is "HSALNT0110164". The record is from RNAcentral. Lineage: Eukaryota; Metazoa; Chordata; Mammalia; Primates; Hominidae.